Molecule: long non-coding RNA, 1976 nt
Filed under: Bemisia tabaci
Lineage: Eukaryota; Metazoa; Arthropoda; Insecta; Hemiptera; Aleyrodidae
Description: lncRNA ENSSSA2NGG003720
Source: RNAcentral
ACCAAAAUAAUCCUACAAGGGACGAAAGCUUCUGCAAAAAUUCCAAAUUUCUUGAUGUUUUUGACAAAAUCACCGCAAACUCUGCUGAAAUACUAUCCCCUCAUAAAAUGCUUUCCAAAUUUUCCCAAGAACGACCUGAUGUAGUUAAAUGGCCAAAGAACUUUACAGACAAAGCCCCAUCAUUAGACCAGAAUAAGAACGAAUACAGACAUAGCCAGAAACGGAAGCUGGAUUUAUCUGUAGAUAAGUCUGAAAUGAAAAAAACUGAGACAAGAAUUUCUCGUAAAAGGAAAUCAAUAUCUGCUGAGAGAGAGUCUAUGUCAGAAAGAUCAAGCCAACCAAACGCUGCACCAGAAAAGUUUAAAGCUCCUUUGUCAAGCUUUAAUCAGAAAUUUACUUCUGAAUGCUCCAAUUCCUCCAGUGAGCUUACAUUUUCCUCAACAGAUACUCAAAAGAAAACCCCUCCUCAAAGCAACAAAGUUCUUCCUAUGGAGUCACCUUGCACUUUCAUCAGGAGAAGAACAUCUGCUGAAGGAGAAUUUCCAGAAUUCCUGUGUGAAGCACAGUCAUUUAAAAAUCCUGAACACGCAUUAGAACAAGAAACUGAUAAAGUCUCUUCAGGAGAGCCCAAAAUAUAUUGAAACAAAAAACAGCGGACAAACAAAACUGCCUGCUAGCAAGCGGGUUCAAUUUAGGGAGGAAUUGGAGGAAACUAUUGACCUGGAGGAAGAAGACUACAUAUGUGCUGAGGAUCAACAAAUGAUGGACUUUGACCUGUAUGACUGUGCGAAAAAAAAUCCAGAGCCACGGAAGAAAAGCACCACUUCCAAGUCCCAAGGCUCUUCUUUGCAGCGACGAUUAGAAAACGCCCAGAAAAUUGUGAGGACUACAAACAAUGUCCAGCAGAGUCAGUCCUUAGAGACUGCACUGUCCCACGAAGUUGAACCAAAUUCGCAAAUAAGUCAUACAAAAAAUGAAGAAGAACCAAUGGACUGGGAAGAUAUACCUUUGCCCGAAAUUAUGACGCAGGUUGAACAAACUAGGUACUUCAUGAGUCUGUGCCAGCAAAAAACAACAGCAAAUUGGCUACCAGAACAAAGUUCAAUUACUCCUCCUCCUAAGGCUGAAUUUUGUAUUGUCAUUGAUACGAAUAUCUUUUUAUCCAGAAUCUCUUUUGUUGUACGCAUAAGGGACACUUAUUUCAAAGGCCUUGGUCUUCCUACCAUAGUGGUUCCGUGGCAAGUCGUGCAAGAAAUUGAUUCUUUGAAAGAUCGCGGAAGUAGCAAAAUCAACAGAAAGCCAACAUUGCAAAGAAUUUUCUCUUCGAAAAUUUAUCGAAUAAAAAUCCAAGAGUGCGCGGUCAAACCAUGCUGGAGCAUGAUGAAUGUCAAGGAGAAGACUACGUAGCCCCAGAUGACAUGAUUUUAAAAUGCGCCAUCCAACUGGUCAAAAGUGGAAAAAGUGUGGUGAGACUUUUUAUUUUCCUUAAACUUUAAAAAAAAAAAAAAAGACCUUUUAUUUUCCUUCAGAAACUAAGUUAAUUUGUGUGUUACUGAACUAAACAACUUUCUCAAAAGCUUUCCGCUCUUUCAGCAUGAUUAUGUAGAGUUAUGAAAAUAGGAAUGUUGCAUAUUUUGACUGUAUUAUUUCCUUAGUACCUGAGGUGCUCGCAAAUAACUGCAUUGAAUUUCCGUUUUUAUGUGGCCAAAAACCCCGGUACAGAUUGUGCAGGGGAAUUUUUCACUGCGUUUUCAACUUUUGUGUUUUUUCUACAGUGAAUACAAAUUCAGAGGUAAGUUUUCUGCAUGCACCUACGGUAGGUACAAUUGCUGUUACGUCGAGCAUAUGAGCAUAGUCUGACAUUUUGUACAAACCUCAAAAUUUGUGCUUGGUAGAGCUUUCUGCUCCUAAAUUUCAAUUUGAUUCUUACAGGUAAAUCAGCCUGUAGGCUAAUUGGUGAAACUUUGUCCCGCAGG